AGUAACUAAAAAUUUUGAAUGGGUUUAACGUUGGGUUCGUAAUUACUCGUACAGCGCCACCACUUCCAACAUUUGGGUCGAAUAGUCCGCCCCAAAACAUAGCUUUUGCGACUAAUAACCAAGCUCCCACACCAAGGAGAAUCAAGUGAAUUCCCAAAAUAGUGGUCAUCUUGUCUUUAUCUUUCCA
Molecule: antisense RNA, 187 nt
Filed under: Mastigocoleus testarum BC008
Lineage: Bacteria; Bacillati; Cyanobacteriota; Cyanophyceae; Nostocales; Hapalosiphonaceae
Description: Antisense RNA which regulates isiA expression
Rfam family: Antisense RNA which regulates isiA expression
Source: Rfam by way of RNAcentral